AGACAGCAGCAGCCGCGGGAAUACGGAGGGUGCAAGCGUUAAUCGGAAUUACCGGGCGUAAAGCGCACGCAGGCGGUCUGACAAGUCAGAUGUGAAAUCCCCGGGCUUAACCUGGGAACUGCAUUUGAAACUGUCAGGCUGGAGUCUUGUAGAGGGGGGUGGAAUUCCAGGUGUAGCGGUGAAAUGCGUAGAGAUCUGGAGGAAUACCGGUGGCGAAGGCGGCCCCCUGGACAAAGACUGACGCUCAGGUGCGAAAGCGUGGGGAGCAAACAGGAUUAGAUACCCGCGUAGUCCCUGUCUCUUAUAC
Molecule: ribosomal RNA, 307 nt
Filed under: uncultured bacterium
Lineage: Bacteria
Description: partial 16S ribosomal RNA
Rfam family: Bacterial small subunit ribosomal RNA
Source: RNAcentral